RNAcentral lists this ribosomal RNA (433 nucleotides) under uncultured bacterium. Its description in RNAcentral is "partial 16S ribosomal RNA". It matches the Rfam family "Bacterial small subunit ribosomal RNA", at positions 29 to 507 of the family's 1533-position model. The record is from RNAcentral.
AACGAACGCUGGCGGCAUGCCUAACACAUGCAAGUCGAACGAGACCUUCGGGUCUAGUGGCGCACGGGUGCGUAACGCGUGGGAACCUGCCCUUAGGUUCGGAAUAACUCCCCGAAAGGGGUGCUAAUACAGGAUAAUGUCUUCGGACCAAAGAUUUAUCGCCUUUGGAUGGGCCCGCGUUGGAUUAGCUAGUUGGUAGGGUAAAAGCCUACCAAGGCGACGAUCCAUAGCUGGUCUGAGAGGAUGAUCAGCCACACUGGGACUGAGACACGGCCCAGACUCCUACGGGAGGCAGCAGUGGGGAAUAUUGGACAAUGGGCGGAAGCCUGAUCCAGCAAUGCCGCGUGAGUGAUGAAGGCCUUAGGGUUGUAAAGCUCUUUUACCCGGGAUGAUAAUGACAGUACCGGGAGAAUAAGCUCCGGCUAACUCCGUG